UGUAACAAAUUUACGUCAUUUAUUUAAUGUAUAGGGUAUUUUUCUGUUCUACCUCUGGAUGGCAUAUAAUUGUUUUAUAGAGUAUAUGAAGAAAAACCAAAGAGAGCGUUAUCUUACUUCCUCUAGCAAAACCUAAACAAACCUCCACCUUCCUCACCCGAGCCUCCAGCCUCCUCCUCUUCCUCCUCCCUUACGCAAACUGACAUUCUCCUCCUGAAACGAAACCUUUCUCCUUCUCCCUUUCUGGCAAAAUCUUUCAUAUAUAUUAAUAUAAGGUACUUCGACCAGGACAAAUAGAUUUGUCUCAGUUUGGAUUUCAUUCAAAUAAAUUGUCUACGAAUUUUAAAAAUAUGUGUGACUUCGCCAAAUCCAUUUCAUGAUGCUCUGGUUGAUGGUUGAUGGGACGGUAAGUGUGAGAUAUUGGAUCGAACUCUAGUAUGGUCGAAGGGUAGCUCCUUGGUUCGACAGGGUUAAGCAUGACGUCGAAGGUUGCUCACAUGCUGGUGUCGAAGUAUGCUGUAGUCGAAGAUGGGUCGAGCAUGCAGAUGUCGAAGAUGCUAGGGUUGUUAGCAUGUUAAAUUAGGUUUUAGUGUUUAAACCCUAAUUUGUUAAGUUAGCUUGUUUAUUAAGUUGGCUUGUGUAAUGGGCCUUGCUGAAAAAGCCCAUUAGUUAGUAUGUUAGGUUUUAUUAUAAAUAGCAUACUAGUCUCUCAUCAUUGCUAAGCUGCAAAUCUUAAUUUAGGGUGAGAGAGAUUAUUUGUUAUUCUUGUAAACUUGUAAUUUUGUUUUAAGAGAAAGUAAAAGAAUAGCAGUUAUAACCAA
This is a long non-coding RNA of Vicia villosa (hairy vetch), 821 nucleotides long. RefSeq lists it as uncharacterized. The record is from RefSeq and is a predicted model, not a curated record. Lineage: Eukaryota; Viridiplantae; Streptophyta; Magnoliopsida; Fabales; Fabaceae. The transcript is spliced from 3 exons.